AUUGAACGCUGGCGGCAGGCCUAACACAUGCAAGUCGAGCGGAUGAAGGGAGCUUGCUCCUGGAUUCAGCGGCGGACGGGUGAGUAAUGCCUAGGAAUCUGCCUGGUAGUGGGGGCUAACGUCCGCAAACGGGCGCUAAUACCGCAUACGUCCUGAGGGAGAAAGUGGGGGAUCUUCGGACCUCACGCUAUCAGAUGAGCCUAGGUCGGAUUAGCUAGUUGGUGGGGUAAAGGCCUACCAAGGCGACGAUCCGUAACUGGUCUGAGAGGAUGAUCAGUCACACUGGAACUGAGACACGGUCCAGACUCCUACGGGAGGCAGCAGUGGGGAAUAUUGGACAAUGGGCGAAAGCCUGAUCCAGCCAUGCCGCGUGUGUGAAGAAGGUCUUCGGAUUGUAAAGCACUUUUAGUUGGGAGGAAGGGCAGUAAGUUAAUACCUUGCUGUUUUGACGUUACCAACAGAAUAAGCACCGGCUAACUUCGUG
RNAcentral lists this ribosomal RNA (484 nucleotides) under uncultured bacterium. RNAcentral's name for it is "partial 16S ribosomal RNA". It matches the Rfam family "Bacterial small subunit ribosomal RNA", at positions 30 to 507 of the family's 1533-position model. The record is from RNAcentral.